CUGCCUUCGUAAGGAGGAGGAAGGUGUGGACGACGUCAAGUCAUCAUGGCCCUUAUGCCCAGGGCGACACACGUGCUACAAUGGCAUAUACAAUGAGACGCAAUACCGCGAGGUGGAGCAAAUCUAUAAAAUAUGUCCCAGUUCGGAUUGUUCUCUGCAACUCGAGAGCAUGAAGCCGGAAUCGCUAGUAAUCGUAGAUCAGCCAUGCUACGGUGAAUACGUUCCCGGGUCUUGUACUCACCGCCCGUCACACCAUGGGAGUUGAUUUCACUCGAAGCCGGAAUACUAAACUAGUUACCGUCCACAGUGGAAUCAGCGACUGGGGUGAAGUCGUAACAAGGUAACCGUAGGAGAACCUGCGGUUGGAUCACCUCCUUUCUAG
RNAcentral lists this ribosomal RNA (382 nucleotides) under Campylobacter jejuni. Its description in RNAcentral is "bacterial SSU rRNA". It matches the Rfam family "Bacterial small subunit ribosomal RNA", at positions 1149 to 1533 of the family's 1533-position model. The record is from RNAcentral. Lineage: Bacteria; Pseudomonadati; Campylobacterota; Epsilonproteobacteria; Campylobacterales; Campylobacteraceae.